RNAcentral lists this ribosomal RNA (251 nucleotides) under uncultured bacterium. RNAcentral's name for it is "partial 16S ribosomal RNA". It matches the Rfam family "Bacterial small subunit ribosomal RNA", at positions 524 to 775 of the family's 1533-position model. The record is from RNAcentral.
UACGUAGGGUGCGAGCGUUGUCCGGAAUUAUUGGGCGUAAAGAGCUCGUAGGCGGUCUGUCGCGUCGAUCGUGAAAACUUGGGGCUUAACCCUGAGCUUGCGGUCGAUACGGGCAUGACUGGAGUUCGGCAGGGGAGACUGGAAUUCCUGGUGUAGCGGUGAAAUGCGCAGAUAUCAGGAGGAACACCAAUUGCGAAGGCAGCUCGCUGGGACGUUACUGACGCUGAGACGCAAAGCGUGGGAGCGAACGG